AAUCUUAAUUGCCUUGGGGCAGUCCCUGCCCU
This 32-nucleotide small RNA is filed under the name Bombyx mori (domestic silkworm). RNAcentral's name for it is "ovarian small RNA-10812". Lineage: Eukaryota; Metazoa; Arthropoda; Insecta; Lepidoptera; Bombycidae. The record is from RNAcentral.